Molecule: small RNA, 200 nt
Filed under: Ilyobacter polytropus DSM 2926
Lineage: Bacteria; Fusobacteriati; Fusobacteriota; Fusobacteriia; Fusobacteriales; Fusobacteriaceae
Description: 6S RNA
Source: RNAcentral
GGGAUACUGGCCUAUUUGCUAUCUUUCCUUGAUGUUUUGGGCCUAAGGUCGUCAAGGGAGUUGGCGCUGUUCGCGGCACAACAGAAAAGUCACGAGGGUACAACGAACCCCUACGGACCCUGUAUGUCAGCGUAUAUCUGACUACCACCUAUAAGAUAUGGCGACCAAAACUAUACAGGAGGCGGUAGGCUGGUUACUUU